AGUUACUUGACGUAGACCCGAAACCGGGCGACCUACCCAUGAGCAGGAUGAAGCGAAAGUAAAAUUUCGUGGAGGUCCGAACCCACGGGCGUUGAAAAGCUCGGGGAUGACUUGUGGGUAGCGGUGAAAUUCCAAUCGAGCCCGGAGAUAGCUGGUUCUCCCCGAAAUAGCUUUAGGGCUAGCCUCAAGGUGAGAGAUACGGAGGUAGAGCACUG
Molecule: ribosomal RNA, 215 nt
Filed under: Clostridioides difficile
Lineage: Bacteria; Bacillati; Bacillota; Clostridia; Peptostreptococcales; Peptostreptococcaceae
Description: partial 23S ribosomal RNA
Rfam family: Bacterial large subunit ribosomal RNA
Source: RNAcentral